AUGCCACUGUAAAAGAAGGUUUCCCACAACAAAAGGGUGCAAUGUGCAUUGGAACAGGCGUAGGGGUAGGGGCCCCUCUGGACUAUUUGACAUAGUUCUGCAAAUGCUUCUCUUUGACGGAGUAAAACCCAAUCUCCCUCCUCUAACCCGUGUGCUGAAACUAACCCAAGCAUUAGGAAUUCCUACUUUCCCUGCUCUAACCUACUCCCUCUGCACAGCCUGGCUCCAAACCACACCUUCUGCUCUGCUCUUACCCACUAACCCCACUCCCCUCCCAGAGUUGGG
Chelonoidis abingdonii (Abingdon island giant tortoise) is the source of this 285-nucleotide non-coding RNA. NCBI's taxonomy places the organism in Eukaryota, Metazoa, Chordata, Testudines, Testudinidae. The record is from RefSeq and is a predicted model, not a curated record.